RNAcentral lists this unclassified non-coding RNA (231 nucleotides) under fungal sp. RNAcentral describes it as "partial internal transcribed spacer region". The stretch from base 1 to 46 matches the Rfam family "Eukaryotic small subunit ribosomal RNA", at positions 1786 to 1831 of the family's 1831-position model. The record is from RNAcentral. Lineage: Eukaryota; Fungi.
AAGUCGUAACAAGGUUUCCGUAGGUGAACCUGCGGAAGGAUCAUUAAUGAGUUUGCGCGGUCGCUGCUGGUUCUUACAAGUGCACACCGUGUCUUUCUUAUCCACCCCAUUGUGCAUGUCGGUACGCGCCGUCUUUGCGACGCUGUAGUCCACACAUAACCUAUUAUUACGAGUAGAACGUGCUUGUUGGAAAUAAUAAUACAACUAUCAACAACGGAUCUCUUGGCAUCC